RNAcentral lists this unclassified non-coding RNA (452 nucleotides) under Hevea brasiliensis (rubber tree). Lineage: Eukaryota; Viridiplantae; Streptophyta; Magnoliopsida; Malpighiales; Euphorbiaceae. The record is from RNAcentral.
GAUCCAAAUCUGUGGAAUGAGACCUGUCCAUGGACACGUUGAGUACUUCUCCAAGGAAUUUUACGCUCUGACAAAAGCUAUGGAAGGAAAUGCAUUUCUGAAAGAAUCUAUGAACUCCUUGAAGCAAAUGGUGUCUUUUGUGUAUCCUGAAUUAUUGCAGGCAGAAGAUCUAAUAUGAAAUUUAGGUUGUCUUUGAGCCCUUGGGUAGGUGAAUCUCAUAAUAUUGUUGAUAAUUAGUUGAUUUCUUUUUGCCUCUUGAUGUGCAUUUUCUUGCUUCAUAUUAUGUGAAGCCUUUUGUCCCAACAAUGGUUACUGGGGCAGGAAAGUUGGGGUAUAGGCUGCGAUGCGAUUGUUGACAAUGAUGAAGGGGUUAUGAUUUCAGUUUGAUAUUUGAGAGUUCAAACCAAUGUAUGGGAAAGGAAAGAGUGGAAGUAUCCCCCAUCCUAGAUAUU